Molecule: long non-coding RNA, 7841 nt
Filed under: Populus tremula
Lineage: Eukaryota; Viridiplantae; Streptophyta; Magnoliopsida; Malpighiales; Salicaceae
Description: long non-coding RNA (PTRE_LNC003012)
Source: RNAcentral
ACCCGCGGGGAGAAGAGUUGUGGCUGGUUCUCCGUGGGGAAAGGAGAGUGGUGCUGCUGGUGGGUCUGUGUUGAUGACCGGGCUGUAGGGAAGGAAGGAAAAUGAAUGUGUGGGGGCCGGUUGGCUGAUUUGAAAGAAACACAGCCAAGGGGCAGCUGGUUAAGGGAGAAGAAGAUGAAAAUAACGAAAAGGAAGGGCUGUCUUGGCUGAGAGGGAGACGGGUCGCAGGGAGAGAGGCGAACAAGUGGGGAGCAGCUGCUGUUUUGGGAGAGAAAAAUCCCAACCGGGUGGAGGAGGUCGUGCGUUGCUCCGGGUCGGAAAAAUGAAAAAGAACACUGGGGGGGGCGGCGGCUGGCCUUCGUGAAGGAGAGGAAAUCAGUUCAGUUUUUUAGGGUUUUUCCCUUUUGUGUUCCCUCCUUCAAAUUACAAAAUACCCCCCCCUUGCAAAAUGAAUUAAAAGCUGCUAUUUAUAGGCAAAAUAUUUUUUCGUGCUUCCAAAUUGGUCCCUCAAUUUUUUGUGUUCAAUUGACUUGGUAAAAAUUAAAUUUGAUCUUAAAAUUUUAAUCUUUUCAAUUCAGUCCAAAUUAAGCUCCCAAACUUAAUUUUUCACCAAUUAAGCCCUCAAAUUAAUUUGACCCAUUUAAAGUAUAAUCAAGUCCUUGCACUUAAUUAAAUCCUUCAAUUGGACCUAAAUUUAUUCUCAAACAUAAUUAAAAUUUAAUUUGACCCAUGAUUAAAUCAAAUUGGCCCAUUAAAAAUUUAAUUAUGUCAUUGGACUUAAUUUUUAUGCAAAUUCAUCCAAUAAUCAUUUGAUUUGACCUUCGAAUAUGCAUUUAAUUUGACCUUCGAUUUUUGCCUAUUUUUGCAGUCUUUUUUUUAUUGGCUUUCUCCGCAGUGCCAGCCUUUAUUUUAUUUUAUUUUAUUAUUUUUUUUUUUUAAAAAGUGAAAUUUAGGGAAUAACCCAAAAUUGGGUUAUGACAGUUGCCCCCCUCUUUACAAUGCUUAUGAUAGAAAGUCUCGUAGGGGACUUUAGAUAGUAAGCGUUGUAAAGAAGAAAAAAAGGAAGAUGUUUUUUUUUUUUUUUUUAAUUCAAAGAUUUUGAAAUGGUCGAAUUGUCAUGGGUGACCUACCCGGGUGAAAAACACGAAGAUGUUUUAAAGUGGUGAAAAAUACAGAGAUUUUUCAACGAGGUGAAAAAUACAGAGAUUUUCCAAAGUGGUGAAAAAUACAGAGAUUUUUCAAAGUGGUGAGAAAUACGAAGAUUUCUAAAAAUGGUUUUAUUGUUAUGGGCAACCGGCCCAGAUGAAAGGUUUUGAAAAAUACAAAGAUUUUUUCAAAAAGGUGAAAAAUGCAGAGAUUUUUCAAAGUGGUGAGAAAUGCAAAGAUUUCUCAAGAUGGUGAAAAAUUUUAGAGGUGGUGAGAAAUGCAAAGAUUUCUCAAAAUGAUGAAAAAUACAAAGAUUUUUCAAAGUGGUUUUGUUGUAAUGGGCAAACGGCCCAAUUGAAAGAUUUUGAAAAAUACAAAGAUUUUUUCAAAGAGGCGAAAAAUGCAGAGAUUUUUCAAAGUGGUGAGAAAUGCGAAGAUUUCUCAAAAAUGAUCUUGUUGUGAUGGGCGACUUGCCCAGAUGGAAAGUGAUGAAAAAUGCAAAGAUUUUUCAAAGUGGUGAGAAAUACAAAGAUUUCUCAAAGUGGUGAAGAAUGCAGAGAUUUUUCAAAGUGGUUUUAUUGUAAUGGGCAACCGGCCCGAUGGAAAGGUUUUGAAAAAUACAAAGAUUUUUUCAAAGAGGUGAAAAAUGCAGAGAUUUUUCAAAGUGGUGAGAAAUGCAGAGAUUUCUCAAAAUGGUGAAAAAAAUUUGGAGGUGGUGAGAAAUGCAAAGAUUUCUCAAAAUGGUUUUAUUGUUAUGAGCAACCGGCCCGAGUGAAAGAAUUUUGAAAGUGGGGAGAAAUGCAAGGAUUUCUUAAAAUGGUGAAAAAUACAGAGAUUUUUCAAAGUGGUGAAAAAUGCGAAGAUUUCUCAAAAUAGUUUUAUUGUUAUGGGCAACCGGCCAAAAUGGAAGAAUUUUGAAGGUGGGGAGAAAUGCAAGGACUUCUCAAAAUGGUUUUAUUGUUAUGGGCAACCGGCCCAAAUGGAAGAGUUUAAAGUUGGAGAGAAAUGCAACGAUUUCUCAAAAUGGUUUCAUUGUUAUGGGCAAACGGCCCAAAUGGAAGAUGAAAAGAGUUUUGAAAGAGAUCUGAUUAUAAUGGGUGACCUACCCGGGCAAAAAGGCAAAAUGUCUAAAAGGGACGACAUGAUAGGACUCGAUGGAGAACGAGGGCUGAAGAACGCACUCGAAAGGAGGUAGGGUUAGAAGAACACACUACUCGAGAGGUGAGGUCUCGAAGAUGCACUUGAAAGGAGGUAAGGUUUGAAAACGCACUACCUAAAGUGGUGAGGGCUCAAAGGUGCACUCGAAAGGAGGUAAGGUUGGAAAACGCACCACCUAAAAGUGAGGGCUCAAAGGAGCUCUCAAAAAGAGGCAGGGGUAGAAAACGCAUUACCUAAAAGGUGAGGGCUCAAAGGAAGCAAUCAAAAGGAGGUAGGGUUAGAAAAUUCACUACCUAAAAGGUGAGGGCUCGAAGGAGCUCUAAAAAAGAGGCAGGGUUGGAAAACACACUACCUAAAAGGUUGAUGGCUCUAAGGCGCACUUAAAAGGAGAUAGGGUUGAAAAACGCACUACCUAAAGUGGCGAUCGAGGGCUCAAACGUGCACUCGAAAAGAGGUAAGGAGGUAAGGAGGUAAGGUUGGAAAACGCACUACCUAAGGUGGUUAAUGGCCCUAAGGCGCACUUAAAAAGAGAUAGGGUUGGAAAACACACUACCUAAGGUGGUUGGGGGCUCUAAAGCGCACUAAAAAAAGGAGGUAUGGUUAGAAAACACAUUACCUAAGGGGUGAGGGCUAAAAGACGCCCUUAGAAGGAGGUAGGGUUGGAAAACACACUACCUAAAAGGUUGAUGGCUCGAAGGCACACUAAAAAAGAGGUAGGGUUAGAAAAUACACUACCUAAGAAGUGAGUGCUCGAAGGAGCUCUCAAAAGGAGGUAGGGUUGGAAAACACACUACCUAAGAGGGUUAGGGCUCGAAGGCACACUAAAAAAAAGAGGUAGGGUUAGAAAACACACUACCUAAGAUGGUCGAGGGCUCGAAGGAGCUCUCAAAGGGGAGGUAGGGUUAGAAAACACAAUACCUAAGAUGGUCGAGGGCUCUAAAGCGCACUUAAAAGGAGGUAUGGUUAGAAAACACAUUACCUAAGAUGUGAGGGCUCAAAGACGCACUUAGAAGGAGGCAGGUUUGGGAAACACACUACCUAAAAUGGUUAGGGCUCAAAGGCACACUAAAAAAGAGGUAGGGUUAGAAAACACACUACCUAAGGGGUGAGAGCUAAAAGACGCCCUCAGAAGGAGGUAGGGUUAGAAAACACACUACCUAGGAGGUUUAAGGCUUCAGCAACCCGCUAAAAAAGAGGUGAUGGUGAGACACCGAUCUGUCAAGGAUGAAAGAAAUGCAUCAUGAUCAAUAUGCAUGUAUACUUACCUGAGAAGUAUAGGUCCCCUUUUCUUUAUGGAGUUCUCCUUUUCUCAAAAGUUUGAGUCUCUGAUAGUAAGCUUUGAUGGCUUUUGUCCCCCUUGCUUACUCGAGAAAUAUGUUACAAUCUUGGCCUCUAGGAAAGACUCGAUGCCAUCAUUUCUUUGUUCUCCGUCCCUUUUCUCUCAAGGGUUGCAAAUUUCGCCCAAUAGUUUCUUGGACAGGGAAUCAUGGAGCAAGCUCUACCAGAUGUUUUUGAUUGCCCCUUAGCUUGAUCAUGCCCCUCAAGUAUUCAAUUCGGGUUUGGGGAUGAGGCUAUAUGAAGGAAGGUUUGGUUUUUGACAAGGAGUUGUUUUCAUGCAGAAUUUUUGGAAUUUCAAAGUUAUUCCGGACACAGAAUUCAUUUUGACAAUGAUUCAAAGCAAACCCAUUCUGAAGAAAUUCAAGUGAUUCCUAUGGAGAGGUUUUCAGAAGUGAUGAAAACUUUUUUUGUUUUGAUUUUUGGUGAAAAAUAUGAAGUGACAUUUGGUUGGUCACAAAAGGUUUAGAUUUCAAUUUGAGGGUUAUUGAGAACCGUUGGUGAAAAUGUGAAGCACACGAAGUGACAUCUGGUUGGUCAAAAAAGGUUGAAAUUUCAAUUUGAGGGUUAUUGAGAACCGUUUUCAAAGCAAUCAUUUUAUUUGCAUGAAUAAUAAUUUUAUUUCGCAUGAGAAAGCACUGCCUACCGAUCCAGAUUGCUUGCCUUUGAUCAGAAAGGGCUUGAUUAGGCACGUAAUGUAGGCUUGGGCUUUUGGCUAUGAAGAAAAGAAUAUAUGUAGGCUCAAAAGGUGUUUGAGGGACUUUUAAGACUAAGUAUCACAAGUGCUUAUAUCACAAACUCUUUUGUUCAUACAUUUUUGGACCUUGGAAUUGAUUUGUAAAAUGGUCCACGGUGCCCCCCAAUGUUGGGCUUGCUUGGGCUCUUUCUCUUUGUUUUUGUUUUCUUCAUUUGAUUUUGAGCAUCAUUGAAUUAGAUUUUUUUUUAUGCUCAAAAUUUUGGAUUUUUUCAUGCCCCCUAGCUUUGUAUAGGCACCUUUAAUGAUUGAGAAUUUUCUUUUAUGCCCCCCAGUAUUGUUUGGGCACUUUCAUCGUUGAAGAAUUUUUCAUGCCCCCAAGAGUUAUUUGGGCACUUUCAAUCAUUAUGGAUUUUUUUUGCACUUGCCCCCCAGUGUAGGGUGUGAUCCUAGCCCAGGUUAUUUUUCAAGAAAAAUUUAUUAGGCUCAAAAGGGGACUGCAAAUGAUAUAUUUCAGCCUUGUGAAAGGAUUAUCAAAGAUGGCCUUUCUUCAUCUCAAAUGCAUGCAUUUAGGAUCGGUAAGCCUUGCUUUCAUGCGAGUAUGCAGAGUGAUUUCUCAUUAUUCAUGCAAGUAAAACCCCAGCUUUUGGAGUCACUUCAUGGUGUUGUUUUUUUGAGUUUUCUAGGUGUAUGGUUACCUCUCUAAGGAAUCACCUGAAUUUCCAGAACUUGUUUGUUUCGAAAAAACACCAGAAUGAUUUCUGUUUUUGUACUAAACUUUGAAUUCCCAAAAAUCCUUUGAAAACAUGGGGUCUGUAUUGUUUUGGGAAGAAAAGGGAAAACGCACCACAAGAUUUUGGGCGCGGUGGUUUCAUGCUUAAAGGUUACGCUCAAUGUGUUAUUUGCAUGAAACAACAAAAAUGAUGGCAUGUGAUGAACACAAAACACAUGAUAAAGGCUCAGUGGACAGGGAAAGUCUUGUGGAAUUUUGAGCCAAAUUACCAACAAAAACUGGAAUAGGUUGAAACAAAAAAUCAAGUUUUUGGAGGCAUGAUCAAACUGAGGUAGUUAUUUUGGCAGAGCAAGAACAGGCUCCAUUCUGCAACGGUGAUGCAAUUCCCUUCAAAUUGUGUUGAGGCUCUUGAUCAUGUGGGCCCCCAAUUUCUUCGGGUUGAGUCUUUGUUGGGGCUUUGAACAAAAAUGACUGGCCGAUUGGAAGGACCUUCACUAGAGGCAUUUCUAAGUGUUUGCUCGAGUAAGCUAGUGAGGCGAGCCACACUUGCUUUCAGAGACUCUAACUCUUCUUGGAAAUGGAUGCUGCGGUGAGCACGCUCUUUGUCUCCAAUGUUUUUCUCUCAAAAUCAGGUGUUGUAGACUCGGAGGGGACCUACUUUUUAUUCUGGUGCAUGCAUGACAAAUGUAUGAACAUGAAGUCUAUAUGAUGAACUCGCCCUUCGAGGGGUGACAACAUGGUCGUAACUCUUGUAUGAUGGAACAAGAAUUGUGAUUUUUGCCCAAACUCUACAAUGAAAAUUUUCCGAGUGACGACCAAUGUGUCACCCACAAAUCUUGAGUUCAAGAUGAUUCAAGAAGGGUUCGCCCUGAUGCAAAUAAAUGAUAGCACAUACAACCUAAGGACAGGUUCUAUUCAUUGUGUGAACAUGGGUAGGUUUUCUACCUGGUCUCAAAAGGGUCUAUGAACUGCCCAGUGACACCUCACGUGAAGGCAGUAUAGGGGUUUACAAGGAAUGGUUGGGGCACCAUGUGACCGCCAUUACCGAGUAAACACUCAGCUCAUAGUUGGAUGUUUCACAAAUCUGAACCCCGACUGAAAGUCAUGAGGUAGACUGCUACUCCCCACCUAACUUAGAAGCUUGUGUGUGCUUUCAAAAAUAAAUACAAGUGAUGCAUGAAACAAUUCUAAAAAUGCAUGCAUAAAAUAAAGCAAGACAAAAAUGGCAAAAAUUAAACACAUCAAGUACACAAAGCUUAGUCCAAAAUUGUUAGAAACAAUACCUCCCCAGUGGAGUCGCCAUUCUGUCGCUCGUCGAAAAAUCCCGCGCGCGUCAUCAGCUGGCGAUUUAUGUCUCGUUGUUUGUAUCGCUUGAAUUGGUUCGUUAGGAGUCGCCACCUAGUAUUUAAUUGAGGUUACUAGGAAACCCUGGUGGACUGGUCAUGGUCAAAGAUUCGCGGGUAAGGGACUGAUUGUGGUUAGGGAAGGUGUUAGCACCCCUAACACACCUACCUGAGGUAAGCUGCUCCGUGGACUUGACGUGUUAAAGAAGUUUUAAAAAUUGUCUUUUCAUCGGAUUUUAGAAAUAUAACUUCCGUACAAGUUUAUAUUUCUACACCGUGAUCCAAUCAAAAUAUUAAAUCCUUCUUUAUUCUUUGCUGUCUCAUCACAAAAAAAAAUUCAUUAAACAAAUGUAAACAUGCAUUUUUUAUUAUAUAUUUCUUUCUUUUUCUUUUUUCUUUUACAUUUACAUUUACAUUUACAUUUACAAAAAUGCAAAUUCAAAAACUAAAUAAAAAUUACAUUAAAUAACUUAAAAUUUACAAAAUAGUCCCCCAACACUCUAGGAAUUGCAGGGGAGGACAUUCUGGGACUGCAUGAAACAGUGCCGGCGCGUGGAUCCACGCACCACCGUCACUGGCGGCGCGUGGAUCCACGCGCCGCUGCUGGAAACCAGAAAAAACAGAGGCGCCUGGAGCGACUUCUUCUCCUCUUCAAUUUUCAGCCGGCGGUGAGGGUCCGGUCACCUGCAAAACACAAGAAAAACACACAGAGCAGUCGGUUUUACUUUUUUUUUUUUUAGAUCAGUUUCGUUUUUUCCUUUUUUAGAUCUGCAAUCAAAUCCUUCUAUUCCCAGUGGCUGCUCCUUCGUUCUUCAGACAGCGGAGUGUUGGGUGGCUCGCCGGGCGUUGCUGCGAUGGAAGAGGGGAUCGUGGGUCUGCCACCGGUUGAAGGAGAUGAUGACGUGCUGCCCCGGCGCUGGAUCUGUUCGGUCGUCGCUGCUGUGGAAGGAAACCGAAGGAGAAACAGCCGUGGCUGAGGAGGAGAUCGUGACCUGGGAGGCGCCGGAGCUGGAAGCUGUGGAAAGAAGAGAAAAAUAAAUCAAAACCCGCGGGAGAAGAGUUGUGGCUGGUUCUCCGUGGGGAAAGGAGAGUGGUGCUGCUGGUGGUCUGUGUUGAUGACCGGGCUGUAGGGAAGGAAGGAAAAUGAAUGUGUGGGGGCCGGUUGGCUGAUUUGAAAGAAACACAGCCAAGGGGCAGCUGGUUAAGGGAGAAGAAGAUGAAAAUAACGAAAAGGAAGGGCUGUCUUGGCUGAGAGGGAGACGGGUCGCAGGGAGAGAGGCGAACAAGUGGGGAGCAGCUGCUGUGUUUUGGGAGAGAAAAAUCCCAACCGGGUGGAGGAGGUCGUGCGUUGCUCCGGGUCGGAAAAAUGAAAAGAACACUGGGGGGGCGGCGGCUGGCCUUCGUGAAGGAGAGGAAAUCAGUUCAGUUUUUU